ACGCGUGGAACCUUACCAGGUCUUGACAUCCCGCUGACCGGUAUAGAGAUAUACCUUUCCCUUCGGGGACAGCGGUGACAGGUGGUGCAUGGUUGUCGUCAGCUCGUGUCGUGAGAUGUUGGGUUAAGUCCCGCAACGAGCGCAACCCUUGAUCUUAGUUGCCAGCAUUUAGUUGGGCACUCUAAGGUGACUGCCGGUGACAAACCGGAGGAAGGUGGGGAUGACGUCAAAUCAUCAUGCCCCUUAUGACCUGGGCUACACACGUGCUACAAUGGACGGUACAAACGGUUGCCAACCCGCGAGGGGGAGCUAAUCCGAUAAAACCGUUCUCAGUUCGGAUUGUAGGCUGCAACUCGCCUACAUGAAGCCGGAAUCGCUAGUAAUCGCGGAUCAGCAUGCCGCGGUGAAUACGUUCCCGGGCCUUGCACACACCGCCCGU
This 439-nucleotide ribosomal RNA is filed under the name uncultured bacterium. RNAcentral describes it as "bacterial SSU rRNA". It matches the Rfam family "Bacterial small subunit ribosomal RNA", at positions 959 to 1397 of the family's 1533-position model. The record is from RNAcentral.